This 450-nucleotide ribosomal RNA is filed under the name Pseudomonas aeruginosa. RNAcentral's name for it is "bacterial SSU rRNA". It matches the Rfam family "Bacterial small subunit ribosomal RNA", at positions 48 to 505 of the family's 1533-position model. The record is from RNAcentral. Lineage: Bacteria; Pseudomonadati; Pseudomonadota; Gammaproteobacteria; Pseudomonadales; Pseudomonadaceae.
CCUAAACAUGCAAGUCGAGCGGAUGAACGGACGUUGCUCCUGGNUUCAGCGGCGGACGGGUGAGUAAUGCCUAGGAAUCUGCCUGGUAGUGGGGGAUAACGUCCGGAAACGGGCGCUAAUUACCGCAUACGUCCUNCAGGGAGAAAGUGGGGGAUCUUCCGGACCUCACNCUAUCAGAUGANGCCUANGUCGGAUUAGCUAGUUGGUGGGGUAANGGGCCUACCAAGGCGACGAUCCGUAACUGGUCUGAGAGGAUGAUCAGUCACACUGGAACUGAGACACGGUCCAGACUCCUACGGGAGGCAGCAGUGGGGAAUNUUGGACAAUGGGCGAAAGCUGAUCAACCAUGCCGCGUGUGUNAUGAAGGCCUUCGGAUUGUAAGCACUUUAGUNGGAAGAAGGCAGUAGUUAUACUUGCUGUUUGCUUCACAGAUAGCACCGGUACUCUGCA